This 460-nucleotide ribosomal RNA is filed under the name uncultured bacterium. RNAcentral describes it as "partial 16S ribosomal RNA". It matches the Rfam family "Bacterial small subunit ribosomal RNA", at positions 338 to 795 of the family's 1533-position model. The record is from RNAcentral.
CCUACGAGAGGCAGCAGUGAGGAAUAUUGGACAAUGGACGAGAGUCUGAACCAGCAAAGGAGCGUGAAGGAUGACUGCUUUAUGGGUGGUAAACUUUAUUAAUAGGGGAAUAAAAUGUUCCACGUGUGGGAGUUUGUAUGGACCAUAUGAAUAAGGAACGGCUGAAUCUGUGCCAGCGGCCGAGGUAAUACGGAGGAUCCGAGCGUUAUACGGAUUUAUUGGGUUUAAAGGGAGCGUAGGUGGAUUGUUAAGUCAGUUCUGAAAGUUUUCGGCUCAACCGUAAAAUUGCAGUUGAAACGGGCAGUCUUGAGUACAGUAGAGGUUGGCGGAAUUCGUGGUGUAGCGGUGAAAUGCUUAGAUAUCACGAAGAACUCCGAUUGCGAAGGCAGCUCACUGGACUGCAACUGACGCUGAGGCUCGAAAGUGUGGGUAUCAAACAGGAUUAGAUACCCUAGUAGUC